AACGAACGCUGGCGGCAGGCCUAACACAUGCAAGUCGAGCGCGCCCUUCGGGGUGAGCGGCGGACGGGUGAGUAACGCGUGGGAACGUGCCCUUCUCUGCGGAAUAGCCUCGGGAAACUGAGAGUAAUACCGCAUACGCCCUUUGGGGGAAAGAUUUAUCGGAGAAGGAUCGGCCCGCGUUGGAUUAGGUAGUUGGUGGGGUAAUGGCCCACCAAGCCGACGAUCCAUAGCUGGUUUGAGAGGAUGAUCAGCCACACUGGGACUGAGACACGGCCCAGACUCCUACGGGAGGCAGCAGUGGGGAAUCUUAGACAAGGGGGGCAACCCUGAUCUAGCCAUGCCGCGUGAGUGAUGAAGGCCUUAGGGUUGUAAAGCUCUUUCAGCUGGGAAGAUAAUGACGGUACCAGCAGAAGAAGCCCCGGCUAACUCCGUG
This 433-nucleotide ribosomal RNA is filed under the name uncultured bacterium. Its description in RNAcentral is "partial 16S ribosomal RNA". It matches the Rfam family "Bacterial small subunit ribosomal RNA", at positions 29 to 507 of the family's 1533-position model. The record is from RNAcentral.